CCUUCCUUGGAGUGGAAAUUGAUUCCGCCAACAUGAUCUUUCGGUUGCCGGAUGACAAGGUCGCGGUGCUGUUUCGAUGGGUCGACCUAGUCAAAGGGGCGAACAAGGUGCAGUUGAGGCAGAUGCAGGUGCUGCUGGGUCACCUGGCAUUCGCGUGUCGGGUUUUGCCGAUGGGACGGGCUUUUUGUCGCCGGCUCUCCUUGGCGACGGUGGGGAUUCAGGAGCCAUAUCAUUUUAUACGGGUUACGAGAAAGCUGAAAGCGGACUUACAAGUGUGGAGUUCCUUCUUGGAGAGGUACAACGGCCGGUCAUGUUGGGUCCGAGCGGCGGUUGGUAACUCGGUGUUGGAACUCUUCACAGAUGCGUCCGGCUCUUUC
Molecule: non-coding RNA, 377 nt
Organism: Pelobates cultripes (western spadefoot toad)
Lineage: Eukaryota; Metazoa; Chordata; Amphibia; Anura; Pelobatidae
Source: the annotation of a GenBank genome assembly